CCCGCGGGCGGCAGGGGUGGACAGAGGCCACGUCCCUCCAGGGGCGGCAACAAGAAGCUCCCAGGACUGGCUCGCGCCCCAGCCCUCUGCACCGGCGCCGCCCCCCUCAUCCUCGGAGCCCCGCACAAGAUACCGAGCUGUGUGUCUGCAGGCCAGUCAUCUACCCUCUCUGAACCUCAGCUUCCUGCAGAACUAUUGGAUGGCUGAUCUCUUGCCUGGUCUUCCCAUGCACGGUGGACCCACAAUGUGAACUGGCCAUUAAAGGAUUUCAUCCUUCUGACUAUUUGGUUCUCUUGGCCCAAGACAAGUCUAUCAGAGUCAUCCUGGGGACUUUUGAAGGAUCUACUGAGGAAGACAUGAAGGGAAAACAACGUAAUGUCAAUUGCUGCCAGAGGCCAUCUUUGUUACAAGAUGGGGAGAACCUGCCUGGCUGGGAAGCCAACUCCAGAGCAAACAAGUCAACAAUGGGAGGACAGAACCAAUGACAUUAUUUAAACCUCUAAACCCACUCACAUCUGCAGAGUCAUGGUUAGGACAACCUGAUGCACGAGUCAGCAAAUCCUGUCCUUCUUGCCUUUUAAGUCGACAAAAUCCCGACAAACAUACAAGAUCUGAUCCCGUGACAUUCCACAUUUGGUCAAGCAGGUACACUGAGAUAAAGUACGAGAAUUAAGCCUCCAUUUAAUCCUUUCUUGAUUUGGGGGAAAUUAGGUAGAAACUCUGUAUUAGUGAG
Molecule: long non-coding RNA, 733 nt
Organism: Mustela lutreola (European mink)
Lineage: Eukaryota; Metazoa; Chordata; Mammalia; Carnivora; Mustelidae
Exons: 3
Source: RefSeq, a predicted model, not a curated record